UUACGCAAUCUUAUUAUUUUUAAAGCAUGAAACUAGUAUGUUCUAGGUUUAAAUUUGCGUUUAGAUUAUUUGUUAAACUCUUUGUCUCCCGUCAAGGUCCUGAGGAUCCAUAGUUUAAUCUUCUGUUUCUCGAGAGGUGUUUGCUUCCUUAGAUAAGAUCGGAUUUGCUUUUAUGGAUCAUAUCAUAGAAAAUGGUGUUCUAUAAUUAAAAAAUCCAUUAUACUUUUGUUUAUGUGCAAGUUUUUCAUUGUUCUUUAAUGAGAUAUCCAUUAAAGAUAUUUAGGAAGAUUAUCUCGUGAAGAUCAUUAGAACAAGUUCAUUCUACUUCGUAAUGAAUUUGAAGAACAUCAAUGAACAGAUAGAAGCCAAUACAUUUCCCCAAAAGCUCAUUUGGAUCUAGACAUAAAGUUUGAUGUUUUUAUUUAAUAAUGGCAAAUAUAGAAUCGAUGACUGUUUAGGGGAAAAUAUUUUCUUUUAGUGGGUUAAGAAUUUAAUCACAUCAGUUUCAAAAAAGAUUAAAUAUAUCACAUUUAAAAUGUCAAACAAAGAUACAUAAUAUCAUAUAUCAUGUUGAUAAUUUGUAUAUUGUUAAUAGCAUGUUCUCUAAUUCUUAUUAAAGUUACAUACAAAAAUAAAUUUAUCACCUGAAUGUAUAUAUAAAAUGUACAACUAUUAUGUCAAUACUCAAAAAGUAUUAAAUUAUAUCAUAGUUAUAAUUUGACUAAAUAUUAUAACUGAUUAUAAAUUUUGCUUUGUAAUAUUAAUAAUGUGCUAUCUAAUACUUAUUAAAUUUAGACAGAACAUUUUGAAAUCAGUUAAUAUACUAAUAAAUAAUAUUAUAAGGUGUAAUAAAUUUAUAAUUAAUUAUACAAUUACUAGGAACUUAGAAUUUUAGAUAAAAUUUAUAUUCUCUUUAUAUUAUUAGCAACUAGGCAAUUGCCCGCACCCUGUGCGGUAACUAUAUAUCAAACAAUAUUAAAUCUAACAUAUUCGUUGUAUUUUUUUAUGGGAAAAUUCCGUAAAAAUACACAGACUGAAUUUCUUUUGCUGAAAAAAUACAUGAACUUUUUUGGCUUCCCAAAAAAUACACAAACUAAUUUUGAUUGUCCAUAAAAUACACUAACUUUUGAAUUUUGAAAGUUUCACACCUCGAUUUUAACGGUGUAAACAGUGACUAACAGAAUAGUAAGACGCCGUUAGACGCUGUUAACUCUGAUUAAAAAGUUCAUGUAUUUUAUGGACAACCAAAAUUAGUUCGUGUAUUUUUCGAGAAGCUUAAAAAGUUAGUGUAAAAAACGGCCCAAACCCGACCCAAAGACCUGAAAAAAAACACAUUCUCUAUCACAUGAUACAGGUCCGAAAUUUUAUAUUUAUAAACUUUCGGUUUGAUUUUGGACCGAAUAUUUCCGGGUCAGUUCCGAUUCAAGUUUUUGAAUCCGGCUAAAAUGUCAAGAUUAGGUCUAGAUAUUUUAGCGAGAUUCAAAAACUUGGAUCGAAACUGAUCCGAAAAUAUUCGGUCCAAAACCAAACCGAAAGUUUACAAAUAUAAAAUUUUGGAUCUGUAUUGGGUCCAGAUAUUUAGCAUCUGAAUAGGAUAUGAAAUAUCCAAACUCCAUUUGAAAAUUCCUUAAAAAUACACAUACUAAAUUUCCUUUGCUGAAAAAAUACACGAACUUUUUAGGCUUCCCGAAAAAUACACGAACUAAUUUUGGUUGUCCAUAAAAUACAUGAACUUUUUAAUCAGAGUUAACGGCGUCUUACUAUUCUGUUAGUCACUGUUUACACCGUUAAAAUCGAGGUGUGAAACCUUCAAAAUUCAAAAGUUCAUGUAUUUUAUGGACAAUCAAAAUUAGUUUGUGUAUUAUUUGGGAAGCCAAAAAAGUUCGUGUAUUUUUUCAGCAAAAGAAAUUCAGUCUGUGUAUUUUUAAGGAAUUUUUCCUUUUUUUAUUUAUCAGGGUGUAUAAUUAAUGUAUAAUAUUUUUAAUGUAUUAUUAUUUAAAACUAAGCUUUAGAAUACGGACCACAUUAGAGCAUCUCAUAUUAUAUUCAUUGUGGGCUUUUCAUUAUCAAGAUAUUGGAGAAAUUAGCCCAAGGGACAGAUUCUUUUUAUUUGUUGUUUCUCUUAUCUUUCUUGUUCCUUCUUUUUUGUCUUUUGGUCUCUUUCUCGAGUUCUUCUCUUUCUCUCUCUUUUUCUGAUUAAUUUUUUUUUCUGGAAAUAUUUCAUUACUUUGUUUGUGUCUCUUGUCUCUGCCUUUUUGCUCAAGAAUUGUUGCUGCUGUAAACUCAUGAUCUAUCCAUCUUUCAGUUAUUUGUAAUGUAAGCAUUCAUCCGUCGAGGCCACCACUGCCGACCCGUGACGGCCACCACCACUUCCUAAAGAAAUAUUAGUUAAAAGAUAUUCACUCUUUAUUGUAAUUUUUUAUUAAAUUAUUUAUAUGCCAAUUUCUUAUGUAAUUUAAUUUUUUUAGUUGAAGAGUUCAUUUUUGUAUAUGGUUGUCACAUUUGUACUUUUGUGUUUCACUUUUUACCUUUCUCCAAUUCAAAGCUGAAUUCAGAACAUGCAAGGAAAACCAAUUUCUAUUUGCCUCUA
Raphanus sativus (radish) is the source of this 2590-nucleotide long non-coding RNA. RefSeq lists it as uncharacterized. The record is from RefSeq and is a predicted model, not a curated record. The transcript is spliced from 2 exons. NCBI's taxonomy places the organism in Eukaryota, Viridiplantae, Streptophyta, Magnoliopsida, Brassicales, Brassicaceae.